RNA transcript from Drosophila guanche, 3541 nucleotides. It is a transcript of the gene named beta-alanine-activating enzyme, with no coding region annotated. NCBI's taxonomy places the organism in Eukaryota, Metazoa, Arthropoda, Insecta, Diptera, Drosophilidae. The transcript is spliced from 7 exons. The record is from RefSeq and is a predicted model, not a curated record.
UCGGAAAAGUGCGUUCCAGAGUUAGAGAUCAAGACUGAGCCGGAUAUGGACAUAGGGAAAACUUGCGUGGAAGAGGCCAAGAAGCUCUAUGACAUCAGCCGGCUGCGAGCAUUUGGCAGUGUGCCUUUUUUUAUAAAGCGCCUGGAGCUCAAAGACUUUCCGCUAAGCUAUCACAAGGCUAUGUGCCUCGUCGAGAGGCUGCUGGCGUGGCUGCGACGCAAUAAGGUGCCGAAUGGAAUAGGGAUUGGCUUUCGCAUUGCCCAAAAUAUGCCAUCUUCGUGCCUUUUGAUACUGGCGAUCCUCAAUCACAAAUGCCACUUCUUUGCCACGGACAAAAUGCUGAUGUCAAAGGCUCUGCAUGGCCAAAUGUGCGCCGCUGGUGUGGAUUAUCUGGUGGUCUGCGGGCACAUGUCCGUAGGUGUUAUAUACUUUGAGCGUAUCGACAUAUUUUUGGUCUACAACGAGGAAUACAAGCUGUUCAAGGUUAAACACACUCCAGACGAUCCUCCAGCACAAGCGAAGAAGCCUCUGCCGGCCAACAUGUGCUACACAAUCACGACAACUGGGACGACAGGAACUCCCAAGCUUAUUUACGUACCCUAUGAAUGUAUUGCCCCAAAUGUAUUGGCACUCAGCCAGAAGCUGAACGUCUCCAUGGCCGACAUAAUCUACUUGGGCACACCCUCCACCUUCGAUCCCUUUGUUGUGGAGCUCUUUCUGGCACUGCAAACAGGAGCCUCCUUGCUGAUCAGCCACCAGACGAUGAGGGAAGCGCCAUCGAAGGUUCUAAAUGCGCUCUUCCCCAGGAGUAUGUCCGCGCCGGGCAUUACCAUACUGCAGAUGACUCCAUCGCUGUUCAGGCAAUUCGGAGCGACUGCAAUACGUGAACGCAUCCUUACCAAUUCCAGUACCUUAAGAGUGCUUCUUCUUGGUGGUGAACAGUUUCCCUCCAGUGCAGAGCUGAUCACGUGGAUGGAUCCGAGUGUCCUACUGCAGAAACACAUUUGCAACAUAUACGGCAUCACAGAAGUCUCGUGUUGGAGUCUAAUGCACAUUAUACAUUCCCUGCAAAUGCAAAUGCCACUCGGGACUCCCAUCGAUGAUGUGACGGUGUUUCGGGUGCAAUACCAGAGCGAUCGGAAUAUGCAGCACGGAGAACUCUUCAUAGGAAGCGCCAUUCGACGUUGCUAUAUUCCAGAAAUCGAUGACGUAGAGGGUGUAAAAGAUGACUCUGAAAUUUGCUUUCGAUCCACUGGUGAUUUGGUUAUCCGCUUGGAGGAUGAAUCAAUAUGCUACGGCGAGCGUGCCAAUGAUGUGGUGAAGCGUGCUGGUAAUCGCAUUAGUUUGGGCUUAAUCACUCGUAAGAUUGAAAAAUGUCUGCCCAGCGGAGAGCUGGCUAUUUGCCUGUGGCUCGAGCAACUUCAGAAGCUCAUAUGCUGCAUACGUACGUUGGAGAUUAAGACAAAGGUACAGCAGCGUGCCCAGACUUUCGAUAUACUUUCCAAGUUAUUGAAUGCGGAGCAACCAGACAGAUUUAUCUAUCUACAGCACUUCCCCUGCAAUGUUCAUGGCAAACUGGACAAGGAACUGCUGCUCAAGGAGUGCAUGCCGCUGGCUCAGCCUGCACAGGAAAUAUUAAAGAGUUUCCUGCAAGACAGACUGGAAUGUGUGGACGUAUCGAGUGAGAAAGCGACCAAGAAGGCACGGCUGGAGUGCAGCCAACCAUGUGGCUAUGAGCUGAGCUUUCGCCAGGCGGGUGGCACCUCAUUUCAUGCCAUCACAAUUUGUCGGGAGAUUGGCCUGCAAAUGUGCAUCGAUGAUGAGCAGCGACACGUGUUCGAGAUGCUCCUCGACGAGAAUGUUCCUCUGCGCACAGUUCUACGUUUCCUCGACACGGCAAAGCUUGUGGCAAAUAAUACCAAACUGAAGCCGAUAGAGCCGCAGGCAAACAAGACGGCAACCGGGGCAAGUGGAAGCAGCGGCACCUGUGGUCUGACCAUUACCCGCUUCGAGCAGCCGGAGAUCAGGUUCCAGAUUUAUUGGAAGGUCAACUUCGGGAAGUGCAUCGAUUCGCCCGUUACGCAGUACGAGGGACGCUACGUCUGCGUGGGCUCACAUUCCCAUAUACUGCGCACUUUGGAUCCUCAAACAGGCAUAGAGCAGAGCAGCCUGCAACUGCCGGACCGGAUUGAGUGCAAAGUGACAUUCCUCAGUGAGCAGCUGGCCAUGGUGGGCUGCUAUGAUGGUUGUCUCUACGGCUUCAAUCCGCUCACUGGAGAUAUUGUGUGGCGCGUGGAGAUUGGCGGAAUGAUCAAGGCGCAGCCUUUUCUGACAGCCGACGGUUCGCGAAUUGUGGUAUGCAGCUAUGCCGAGGAUUACAAUGUGUUUUGCCUGUCCGCCGAGCGGCAGGAAGUGCUCUGGUGCUUGAGGAUUGGCGAAAAGCCAAUAUUCGCGAGUCCCCUGGAGUUGCCCAAUGAACAGUCGCUGAUCAUCUGCAAUCUGAAUGGUGACUAUGCGCGAGUCGCACUCACGGAUGGAUCCUUGGAAUGGUUGAACAAGUGCAGGGGCCCAUUAUUCGCCACACCUGUCCUGUUGGACUCGAAGCCAAACCAUUUCCUGUGUGCCGAAGUGGCUGGACGCAUCCUUGCCUGCCAUGUAGGCAAUGGAAUGAUUAUGGCUACAUACACUGCAGAGGGAAACGUCUUCUCGUCGUUGGUUGUCAAGAAGCCACCCACACAGAUGGGCUAUUCGUUUGUGAUCUUUGGCUGCAUGAAUCAUCAUGUGUAUUGCCUGCGAUGCAACACAGGAUCUGGGCGAAAACCGGUUACCUUCGAACUCAAUUGGAAGGUCGAUACGGGAGCUCCUGUAUAUGCAACGCCCACACUACUCAUCAUCCAGCUUCUCGGUUAUCUGGUUUGGAGCUGUUCCACCGACGGUCGUGUAAUUUUAAUGAAUUUUCACAAUGGCCAGAUUCGAUGGUCCACCAAGCUGCCUGGGCAAAUAUUUUCCACUUCCUGCUGUAUAGAGAGCCUCCGGCGAGUCUACGUGGGAUGUCGAGAUAAUUUUCUAUACAGCCUGGGCAUCUAGUCUGUUCAGUUGAAUUUAUAACGAACAUUAAAAAUAGCCCUUUCAAGAUAUAUAUUAUAUAAAGAUUACGGCUAUUUAAAGUACACCAAAUCUGAUAAGUUACGCCAACUUAAAACCUUUGAAUAUCACGCGUACUUUCAUAGCGGACAGCUUUUGAUACUGUGAAAAAGUAAACAGCAGCUACGUUCUGUCACCAACCAUACAAUAUAUACUUUAGAUUUAAGAUUAGAUUAGAUGAGAUUAGAUUAUACGCCAGACAGCUGCUGUAAGACACAAGAAUGAAUCCGACUAUUCACUGUUAUUUAAGCGCUCCAAACGGUUUUGUAUUGACUUUCACCCGGAUACGUACUUUGCUGUACUCCGUCGGUUCUGUUCUCGACUUUGUAUAAAGGCGUGGGCUCAUAGUUAAUCAAUCGCAAUCGGUAAGAAAGGGAACCAAAGCAAAGCAAAGCUC